Molecule: ribosomal RNA, 427 nt
Filed under: uncultured bacterium
Lineage: Bacteria
Description: bacterial SSU rRNA
Rfam family: Bacterial small subunit ribosomal RNA
Source: RNAcentral
AUUGAACGCUGGCGGCAUGCCUUACACAUGCAAGUCGAACGGCAGCACGGGAGCAAUCCUGGUGGCGAGUGGCGAACGGGUGAGUAAUAUAUCGGAACGUGCCCAGUCGUGGGGAUAACGUAGCGAAAGCUACGCUAAUACCGCAUACGAUCUAUGGAUGAAAGCGGGGGGAUCGCAAGACCUCGCGCGAUUGGAGCGGCCGAUAUCAGAUUAGGUAGUUGGUGAGGUAAAGGCUCACCAAGCCGACGGAUCUGUAGCUGGUCUGAGAGGACGACCAGCCACACUGGGACUGAGACACGGCCCAGACUCCUACGGGAGGCAGCAGUGGGGAAUUUUGGGACAAUGGGCGCAAGCCUGAUCCAGCAAUGCCGCGUGCAGGAUGAAGGCCUCGGUUGUAACUGCUUUGUACGUACGAACGGUAGAGCGU